AACCCAAUAAAUAAAUGAAUAAAUCUAAAAACAUUUAAAAAUGCUAAAAAAAAGAGAAAAGAGUUUGUCUGAACAAUGAGCCGCCCUUGUUUUGGAUUCUGUGUUCAACCUCUGUGGUCCCAGCUGAGGACUUGGCAGCCGCCGGGCUCUUUACACUGUGGUCACCUGCUACAACCCUCACUGAGUGAGUGGGGAGCUCCCAGAACCCUCCUGGGUUUCCUGGUGACACUGUCCGCUGCUGACUCCCACUGUGCGUCAUUCCUAGUGACAAACAGUCUUUGCUGAUCCCUGAUGUGUGAAAGCAGCCACCAAGCCAAGGUCAGGACCUGGCAAUAGCUGGAGCCUCUCCCAGGGGUUAUCAUCACCGGUGGUGACCCAUGCCGGACGUGGGGAGCUGGCCAAAUCCAGCACCCUGAGAGACCCUGAGAGAGACGUGGCCGCAGCUCCUUGGCAAGUGAAGAGGUAGUCGUACAGCCUGUGAUGGAAUGACGUCACAGGCUUCUCGGCCCCGGGCGCUGCCUUCUCAGGGGACCACAGGACAGACAACGGAGCACCAGCUGUGCCCCCCCCCCCCCGCCUCGGUGUCUCACCCACACAUCUGCUCCACAGCAGGGCAAACAGGGCACAGAGAGGCUGAGUGACUUGCCUAGGGCUCCUCAGCCUAGGGAAGUGGGGUCACUGCUACUCCGCGUGGCAGAGCCGGGACCCCAGGAUCUCUGUCCUAAAUACUGAACACACUGCCUCCCCCAUAGGAGCCCGCCCUGCGCCUGUUCUGCUUUCUUUCAUUUCUCUGUUUUCAUUUAAAAAAUUAAAAAUUACAUGGGUUCA
Molecule: long non-coding RNA, 828 nt
Organism: Peromyscus maniculatus bairdii (prairie deer mouse)
Lineage: Eukaryota; Metazoa; Chordata; Mammalia; Rodentia; Cricetidae
Source: RefSeq, a predicted model, not a curated record